This 253-nucleotide ribosomal RNA is filed under the name uncultured bacterium. Its description in RNAcentral is "partial 16S ribosomal RNA". It matches the Rfam family "Bacterial small subunit ribosomal RNA", at positions 524 to 776 of the family's 1533-position model. The record is from RNAcentral.
UACGUAGGCAGCAAGCGUUGUUCGGAGUUACUGGGCGUAAAGAGUGCGUAGGCGGUGGCCUAAGUUCGGUGUGAAAUCUCCCGGCUUAACUGGGAGGGUGCGCCGGAAACUGGGCUGCUGGAGUGUGGGAAAGGCAAGCGGAAUUCCUGGUGUAGCGGUGAAAUGCGUAGAUAUCAGGAGGAACACCGGCGGUGUAGACGGCUUGCUAGACCAUAACUGACGCUGAGGCACGAAAGCGUGGGUAGCAAACAGG